This 979-nucleotide ribosomal RNA is filed under the name Aphanocladium album. RNAcentral describes it as "SSU rRNA". It matches the Rfam family "Eukaryotic small subunit ribosomal RNA", at positions 51 to 1041 of the family's 1831-position model. The record is from RNAcentral. Lineage: Eukaryota; Fungi; Ascomycota; Sordariomycetes; Hypocreales.
AUGCAUGUCUAAGUAUAAGCAAUUAUACGGCGAAACUGCGAAUGGCUCAUUAUAUAAGUUAUCGUUUAUUUGAUAGUACCUUACUACUUGGAUAACCGUGGUAAUUCUAGAGCUAAUACAUGCUAAAAAUCCCGACUUCGGAAGGGAUGUAUUUAUUAGAUUAAAAACCAAUGCCCUCUGGGCUCUCUGGUGAUUCAUGAUAACUUCGCGAAUCGCAUGGCCUUGCGCCGGCGAUGGCUCAUUCAAAUUUCUUCCCUAUCAACUUUCGAUGUUUGGGUAUUGGCCAAACAUGGUUGCAACGGGUAACGGAGGGUUAGGGCUCGACCCCGGAGAAGGAGCCUGAGAAACGGCUACUACAUCCAAGGAAGGCAGCAGGCGCGCAAAUUACCCAAUCCCGACACGGGGAGGUAGUGACAAUAAAUACUGAUACAGGGCCCUUUUGGGUCUUGUAAUUGGAAUGAGUACAAUUUAAAUCCCUUAACGAGGAACAAUUGGAGGGCAAGUCUGGUGCCAGCAGCCGCGGUAAUUCCAGCUCCAAUAGCGUAUAUUAAAGUUGUUGUGGUUAAAAAGCUCGUAGUUGAACCUUGGGCCUGGCUGGCCGGUCCGCCUCACCGCGUGUACUGGUCCGGCCGGGCCUUUCCCUCUGUGGAACCCCAUGCCCUUCACUGGGUGUGGCGGGGAAACAGGACUUUUACUUUGAAAAAAUUAGAGUGCUCCAGGCAGGCCUAUGCUCGAAUACAUUAGCAUGGAAUAAUAGAAUAGGACGUGUGGUUCUAUUUUGUUGGUUUCUAGGACCGCCGUAAUGAUUAAUAGGGACAGUCGGGGGCAUCAGUAUUCAAUUGUCAGAGGUGAAAUUCUUGGAUUUAUUGAAGACUAACUACUGCGAAAGCAUUUGCCAAGGAUGUUUUCAUUAAUCAGGAACGAAAGUUAGGGGAUCGAAGACGAUCAGAUACCGUCGUAGUCUUAACCAUAAACUAUG